CCCUUAGAGUUUGAUCCUGGCUCAGAUUGAACGCUGGCGGAAUGCUUUACACAUGCAAGUCGAACGGCAGCACGGGGGCAACCCUGGUGGCGAGUGGCGAACGGGUGAGUAAUACAUCGGAACGUGCCCAGUCGUGGGGGAUAACUACGCGAAAGCGUAGCUAAUACCGCAUACGAACUCUGGUUGAAAGCGGGGGAUCGCAAGACCUCGCGCGAUUGGAGCGGCCGAUGGCAGAUUAGCUAGUUGGUGAGGUAACGGCUCACCAAGGCGACGAUCAGUAGCUGGUCUGAGAGGAUGAUCAGCCACAUUGGGACUGAGACACGGCCCAAACUCCUACGGGAGGCAGCAGUGGGGAAUAUUGGACAAUGGGCGAAAGCCUGAUCCAGCCAUGCCGCGUGAGUGAUGAAGGCCCUAGGGUUGUAAAGCUCUUUUGUGCGGGAAGAUAAUGACGGUACCGCAAGAAUAAGCCCCGGCUAACUUCGUGCCAGCAGCCGCGGUAAUACGAAGGGGGCUAGCGUUGCUCGGAAUCACUGGGCGUAAAGGGUGCGUAGGCGGGUUUUUAAGUCAGGGGUGAAAUCCUGGAGCUCAACUCCAGAACUGCCUUUGAUACUGAGGAUCUUGAGUUCGGGAGAGGUGAGUGGAACUGCGAGUGUAGAGGUGAAAUUCGUAGAUAUUCGCAAGAACACCAGUGGCGAGGCGGCUCACUGGCCCGAUACUGACGCUGAGGCACGAAAGCGUGGGGAGCAAACAGGAUUAGAUACCCUGGUAGUCCACGCCGUAAACGAUGAAUGCCAGCCGUUAGUGGGUUUACUCACUAGUGGCGCAGCUAACGCUUUAAGCAUUCCGCCUGGGGAGUACGGUCGCAAGAUUAAAACUCAAAGGAAUUGGCGGGGGCCCGCACAAGCGGUGGAGCAUGUGGUUUAAUUCGACGCAACGCGCAGAACCUUACCAGCCCUUGACAUCCCGGUCGCGGACUCCAGAGAUGGAGUUCUUCAGUUCGGCUGGACCGGAGACAGGUGCUGCAUGGCUGUCGUCAGCUCGUGUCGUGAGAUGUUGGGUUAAGUCCCGCAACGAGCGCAACCCCCGUCCUUAGUUGCUACCAUUUAGUUGAGCACUCUAAGGAGACUGCCGGUGAUAAGCCGCGAGGAAGGUGGGGAUGACGUCAAGUCCUCAUGGCCCUUACGGGCUGGGCUACACACGUGCUACAAUGGCGGUGACAAUGGGAUGCUAAGGGGCGACCCUUCGCAAAUCUCAAAAAGCCGUCUCAGUUCGGAUUGGGCUCUGCAACUCGAGCCCAUGAAGUUGGAAUCGCUAGUAAUCGUGGAUCAGCACGCCACGGUGAAUACGUUCCCGGGCCUUGUACACACCGCCCGUCACACCAUGGGAGUUGGUUUUACCUGAAGACGGUGCGCUAACCCGCAAGGGAGGCAGCCGGCCACGGUAGGGUCAGCGACUGGGGUGAAGUCGUAACAAGGUAACCAAGGG
Molecule: ribosomal RNA, 1485 nt
Filed under: uncultured bacterium
Lineage: Bacteria
Description: bacterial SSU rRNA
Rfam family: Bacterial small subunit ribosomal RNA
Source: RNAcentral